This 484-nucleotide ribosomal RNA is filed under the name uncultured bacterium. RNAcentral's name for it is "partial 16S ribosomal RNA". It matches the Rfam family "Bacterial small subunit ribosomal RNA", at positions 30 to 507 of the family's 1533-position model. The record is from RNAcentral.
AUUGAACGCUGGCGGCAGGCCUAACACAUGCAAGUCGAGCGGAUGAAGGGAGCUUGCUCCUGGAUUCAGCGGCGGACGGGUGAGUAAUGCCUAGGAAUCUGCCUGGUAGUGGGGGAUAACGUCCGGAAACGGGCGCUAAUACCGCAUACGUCCUGAGGGAGAAAGUGGGGGAUCUUCGGACCCCACGCUAUCAGAUGAGCCUAGGUCGGAUUAGCUAGUUGGUGGGGUAAAGGCCUACCAAGGCGACGAUCCGUAACUGGUCUGAGAGGAUGAUCAGUCACACUGGAACUGAGACACGGUCCAGACUCCUACGGGAGGCAGCAGUGGGGAAUAUUGGACAAUGGGCGAAAGCCUGGUCCAGCCAUGCCGCGUGUGUGAAGAAGGUCUUCGGAUUGUAAAGCACUUUAAGUUGGGAGGAAGGGCAGUAAGUUAAUACCUUGCUGUUUUGACGUUACCAACAGAAUAAGCACCGGCUAACUUCGUG